This 274-nucleotide ribosomal RNA is filed under the name uncultured bacterium. RNAcentral describes it as "partial 16S ribosomal RNA". It matches the Rfam family "Bacterial small subunit ribosomal RNA", at positions 523 to 796 of the family's 1533-position model. The record is from RNAcentral.
AUACGGAGGGUCCGAGCGUUAUCCGGAAUCAUUGGGUUUGAAGGGUCCGUAGGCGGGAAUCUAAGUCAGUGGUGAAAUCUUGCAGCUCAACUGUAAAAUUGCCAUUGAUACUGGAUUUCUUGAAUUAGUGUGAAGUGGUUAGAAUGUGUAGUGUAGCGGUGAAAUGCAUAGAUAUUACACAGAAUACCAAUUGCGAAGGCAGAUCACUAACACUAUAUUGACGCUAAGGGACGAAAGCGUGGGGAGCGAACAGGAUUAGAAACCCUAGUAGUCC